GACGAACGCUGGCGGCGUGCUUAACACAUGCAAGUCGAACGGAAAGGCCCUGCUUUUGUGGGGUGCUCGAGUGGCGAACGGGUGAGUAACACGUGAGUAACCUGCCCUUGACUUUGGGAUAACUUCAGGAAACUGGGGCUAAUACCGGAUAGGAGCUCCUGCCGCAUGGUGGGGGUUGGAAAGUUUCGGCGGUUGGGGAUGGACUCGCGGCUUAUCAGCUUGUUGGUGGGGUAGUGGCUUACCAAGGCUUUGCCGGGUAGCCGGCCUGAGAGGGUGACCGGCCACAGUGGGACUGGGAUACGGCGCAGACUCCUACGGGAGGCAGCAGUGGGGAAUAUUGCACAAUGGGCGGAAGCCUGAUGCAGCAACGCCGCGUGCGGGAGGACGGCCUUCGGGUUGUAAACCGCUUUCGCCUGUGACGAAGCGUGAGUGACGGUAAUGGGUAAAGAAGCACCGGCUAACUACGUG
Molecule: ribosomal RNA, 468 nt
Filed under: uncultured bacterium
Lineage: Bacteria
Description: partial 16S ribosomal RNA
Rfam family: Bacterial small subunit ribosomal RNA
Source: RNAcentral